This 280-nucleotide unclassified non-coding RNA is filed under the name uncultured fungus. Its description in RNAcentral is "partial contains small subunit ribosomal RNA, internal transcribed spacer 1, and 5.8S ribosomal RNA". The stretch from base 1 to 73 matches the Rfam family "Eukaryotic small subunit ribosomal RNA", at positions 1759 to 1831 of the family's 1831-position model. The record is from RNAcentral. Lineage: Eukaryota; Fungi.
GCAAACUUGGUCAUUUAGAGGAAGUAAAAGUCGUAACAAGGUUUCCGUAGGUGAACCUGCGGAAGGAUCAUUAACAAUUGUCCAACGUGUGGAUAAUUAUAUCCAUAUCCACCUUGUGUGCAUCACUGAAGUGUUUAUUGGCAGGUUUUGUUAGCUCGGCCUGCCAAUUUUAUUUAUGUUUAAACAUGUCUAAAUAAAUUGUCUGAAAUUGUAUAUUUAUAUAAUAAAUACAACUUUCAACAACGGAUCUCUUGGCUCUCGCAUCGAUGAAGAACGCAGC